ACAGAGGUCUCAAGCGUUGUUCGGAUUCAUUGGGCGUAAAGGGUGCGUAGGUGGCAUGGUCAGUCGGAUGUGAAAUCCCGGGGCUCAACCCCGGAACUGCAUUCGAUACUGCCGCGCUAGAGUACUGGAGGGGAGACUGGAAUUCUCGGUGUAGCAGUGAAAUGCGUAGAUAUCGAGAGGAACACCAGUGGCGAAGGCGAGUCUCUGGACAAUUCCUGACACUGAUGCUCGAAAGCUAGGGGAGCAAACGGGA
RNAcentral lists this ribosomal RNA (253 nucleotides) under uncultured prokaryote. RNAcentral's name for it is "partial 16S ribosomal RNA". It matches the Rfam family "Bacterial small subunit ribosomal RNA", at positions 525 to 777 of the family's 1533-position model. The record is from RNAcentral.